Molecule: long non-coding RNA, 1300 nt
Organism: Carassius gibelio (silver crucian carp)
Lineage: Eukaryota; Metazoa; Chordata; Actinopteri; Cypriniformes; Cyprinidae
Exons: 2
Source: RefSeq, a predicted model, not a curated record
CUUGGUCUGAAGGGGCACAAGUACCUAUGAGGACAUUUGCAUAUCUCAAAAAACAUGGCCGCCAUUGGCCAAACAAUUUUAAGCACCUAUUUGAAAGGGUUAACGGAUGUUGAUCGGAACGAAACUCGCUGGGUACGUUCGACUCAUGAACCUUAAGGUCUGUAAGAAUUUUGAAAGAAAUCGGCCACUAGUUGGCGCUAACGAGUUUUAUGGCUCUGUAAUCACGUGGUGUUUCACAUAUCAACACAAUAUGCAUAUCAUUUGAUAGAUCUCCUCGUAAUGCACAACUUUGCCUCAAGAACCAUUGCUGUCAAUCAAAUCGUUCAAUUGUUAUUCACAAAUAUGUUAAAAACAUACUUUUGCGAACUAGUCCUAGGUUUUUUGCCCGAUCGGAACCAAACCACUGCAGUAAUAUUCUGUGGACUCUCUAGAUCAAUAAUUAUUAAAAAAAUGUUGAAUUUUGUCCUUUGGUUAGCUGUAAAGGGAUAAUUUAGAAAAAGGGGUGUGGCCAAACAUACCCCAAAGCCUAUAAAACCUAAAGGAAAACUCAAAACUUUAUGAAACUCAGUGAAAUCAUGUAACAGGUGACUCUUAACAAGCAUGCAAAGUUUCAUGGAGAUCAGACCAUAGGUGGCGCUAUAACAGUAGAAAAGGUCUCAAAACACAAGAUUUAUAUGGUAAAUGGCCUCAAAUUGUUUGAAAAUGUUCAUAUAUUCACUCAAAAACACUAAAUCUUCAUAUCAUAUGAUAAAUCUCCUCAUUCUGAACAACUUUGCCUCUGGGACCAAUGUUGUCAAUAAAGCUGUUAAUUAAAUAUUCAAGAUUAUUUAAAAAAGUUACUUUGGCAUACUUGUGAUACGGUUUAAGAUGAAAAUCAAUAAAACCACUGAAGUACAAUUCUCUAGACUCUGAAGGUCAAUAAUUAUCAAAAACAUGUUGAACAAUUGCAUUUGGACAACUAUAAACCAGUAAUUUUAUAGUAUGUUCUUUUCAUAGUGUACACAAAGGCCUAUUUAUACAAACAGAAAGCCCACACAUUAUCAAAACUGUGUAAAACAAUGCAUAAUUUCAUUCUAAACAAGCAUGCAAAAUUUAAGAGUGAUUGGGCAAAAAAAAAAAAAAAACACUAUAACAGUUAUGUUUAAAAACACAGUGUUGCUUGAGUAAAUGCAAUUUAUAACCUCUAGAUGGCAGUGGAAGACCACUAAUGGGCUCAUUCAGUUAAGUUGAACAGUACUGUUGAAAGGAUUCAUGAAUUCAUCCCAAAACAUUAAAAAUGUAACUGUUAUAACAUUUUAAA